Molecule: ribosomal RNA, 253 nt
Filed under: uncultured bacterium
Lineage: Bacteria
Description: partial 16S ribosomal RNA
Rfam family: Bacterial small subunit ribosomal RNA
Source: RNAcentral
UACGAAGGGGGCUAGCGUUGUUCGGAUUUACUGGGCGUAAAGCGCACGUAGGCGGCUUUCUAAGUCAGGGGUGAAAUCCUGGAGCUCAACUCCAGAACUGCCUUUGAUACUGGAGAGCUUGAGUCCGGAAGAGGUGAGUGGAACUCCGAGUGUAGAGGUGAAAUUCGUAGAUAUUCGGAAGAACACCAGUGGCGAAGGCGGCUCACUGGUCCGGUACUGACGCUGAGGUGCGAAAGCGUGGGGAGCAAUCAGG